AUACGUAGGUGACAAGCGUUAUCCGGAUUACUGGGCGUAAAGGGCGUGUAGGCGGUCUUGCAAGUCAGAAGUGAAAUUCCUGAGCUCAACUCGGGCGCUGCUUCUGAAACUGCAGGACUUGAGUGCUGGAGGGGAUAGCGGAAUUCCUAGUGGAGCGGUAAAAUGCGCAGAUAUUAGGAAGAACACCGGUGGCGAAGGCGGCUAUCUGGACAGUAACUGAAGCUGAGGCGCGAAAGCGUGGGGAGAAAACAGGAUUAGAUACCCGGGUAGUCCACGCCGUAAACGAUGAAUACUAGGUGUAGGGGGUAUCGACUCCCUCUGUGCCGCAGUUAACACAAUAAGUAUUCCGCCUGGGGAGUACGGCCGCAAGGUUGAAACUCAAAGGAAUUGACGGGG
This 396-nucleotide ribosomal RNA is filed under the name uncultured bacterium. RNAcentral's name for it is "partial 16S ribosomal RNA". It matches the Rfam family "Bacterial small subunit ribosomal RNA", at positions 523 to 918 of the family's 1533-position model. The record is from RNAcentral.